GGGGGGGGGGGGGGGCGCGUCCCGGACCACGGUGCGCGCUCUCCGCUACCCCGCUGGGGAGAGACUCCCCCGCUUCUCUGAGCGGUGCUGAGAGCCGCGCGCCUCUGUCCACUCGCUCGCUAAGCCCCUGGGAUUAGGGGGAGAAUCUGCUGUUGGCGAGGUGGGAACAACUGGGGGGCGGGGGCGCCGAGCCGACCGCAGAACCCUUCCCAGCCGGCAGCCUCGCGGGCACCUGUAAGUCUGUCUCCUUGUCCUCAGGUACCCCCAAGCGCGUUUAUGGCUGAGAAGCGUCCCGGGGUGAGGGGCAUUCCUCCCCUGGGACCGCAUAGAGCGAACCCGCUUAAGCGACCCGGGGCGGCCCGCGUCCCGGAGCGCGCUCCUGCGCAGCCGCUGAUGCCCCGUGACAAUCGCUCCAGCGUCCCCCAACCCCCAGCGCUGUGUGCCCGCGCCUCUCCGUCAGGCCUGUUCUAGGGGGCUGGACAGCAGAGGCCACCGCCCGCGGGGAGCAGCCGAUGACCACGCUAAAUAGCUGAGAGACCGUCCCAAGUGCUGCGCAGGGACCUGAAGACAUGCCGCUGCCUGCCUGCGGAAGCAAUCGCUUUAGGUCUGUGGUCAGGAGGGACUCCAGCGCAUGGAUCUGAGUGACAAGGACAAAGAGAGAGGCAGGGUGUUGCAGGUGCAGGGAACUGUAGUGUGAGGACCCUAGGGCUGGCUGGUGAGUGGUCUGUCCAGAGAAGGCCGCUGGGACUGCGACUGGGGCUGGGGCUGGGGUGAGGGCUGAGGUCACAGGUCAGAGGCCCUGGGUCAGGUAGGAUUGGCAGGCAGCCAGGAGAGCAGGGGCGGGGUUUAGCAGGGAUACAGUCUGAUCUGGCUUACCUUUUAAGAGGCUCACCCUGCCCACGUAUGGAGGGGCACACAGAGUGCAGAUUCCAUCCAGCGGCCCCAAACCCUGUCCCCACAGAUGGUCAGGGGGCAUGGCUUCCCAGGUUAAGUCCCAGGCGUGCGGGGCGGGGGGGGUCCUCCAGCUAUAAUGGAGGGGUGCCGUCCGCCCCACUGAGGCUCAGCGCUCUGAGAGCCAAGCCCAGCCAGGUUUGGGUUUAGAGAAGGAGGGGGUUUCAGCUUCCUUGUGGGGGAACUGCACGAAGGUCUGUCCCCACCCCCACCCCAGGAAGCCGGAUUAGCCCCCUGGGGGCUCCUGCGGAAGGAAGGGUUUUGCUCCAGGGGGUGAACCUGGUACACUUGCGAGGGCAGUGCUGACAGCCCACACUGGGCUUUGGGGGACCCCCACCCCGCUUUGGUCCCUGGCCCCAGGCAGUCCCCAUGGCCUCUUCUCCAUCUUUGUGCUCCUUCUGGACUGGCGGUUUCUGCUGAGACUGUUGGGUUUGUUUGCUUUCCCUGCAGAUGCGUGUACUCUGCAUCCUCCAGCCUAGAGCCCUGAGAGCAUUGCCCACGUCCUCGUGGAAGAGCAAGGCGCUGUGCUGGGGGUCCCAGGGCACCCGAGGAAGGGUCUCUGCUCCCCCACCCCAGGGCUGGAUGUGCAGCAGAACUGAGAGGCAGGGCCAGGAGAUAGAUGAAAAUGAACAUUAAAAAGAAGAAAAGACUCAGCCCAACCAUCCCAGCACAGCACAGGUCCCUGCCCCAAGGCCCUGUCCCACCUGGGCCUCAGCCACCUGCUGCUUGGACCCCAGAACCAAGGCAGCCGUCAGCCCUCUGCCUCUCAGCCUGGAAGCCCUGAAAAUGCAGGUGCUCGGGCCCAGCCCAUACCUGGAGGUAUCACAGCAGCCAGGCACUGGGCUCAGGUGAGACUGUCACUCCCUGGAACCAGACAGAGCAGACAGCAGGUGCGCAUGCGUCUGGGGGGUCCCACCCCAAGUGUCUGGAGUUAGGGUCUUUCUCUGCCAUCACCCACAUUCCCUGGACAAUCCUGAAACGUGCUGCGUGUAUCUAGGGAGAGGGAAGGGGACUCGGGCUUCUGGAGUCGGGUGGGUGUCCACGAACUGCCCAGGAAGGGAAAGGUCGCGAGAAAGAAGGGAUACCCCCGAGUUCUCCGGGACUCGCAGACACACGCCACCUAACUACAGACCAAGCCAGCUCCGCGGGGACAAAAGACCCCAUGGGGCACGUCCGUGUAAAAUUUCAGAGCACCAGGAGGCGGGGGAGACAGAGCCACUUCCAGAGAGUCAGGAGUCAGAGUGACACCAAGGUCCCCGCUGGAGCCUGGAAGCCGGAGCAGGGCCUCAGCACCCGAAGAUGAUUCCAACACCUGCACAGUCAGGCGUGAGGGCAGCACCAACAUCGUGUGCAGCAGGUCAAGCCACCACCUGUGCUGCCAGCAUCCCAUGUGAGCGAGGUUCGAGUCCCAGCUGCUCCACUUCGGAGCCAGCUCCUUGCUGAUGCUCCAGGGAAGGCAGUGGAAGACGGCCAGGCGUGACCUAGCCCCCAUUGGCCUGUUGCAGCCACCUGGGGGUGAACCUGCAGGUAGAAGGUGUGUGUGUGUGUGUGUGUUUGCACGUGUCUCUUUCCCUAACUCUGCCUUUCAAAUAAUUAAAUAUUUUUUCUUAAAAAAAAAAAAAAAAAAACUGUGGGGCCGGCACUGUGGUGCAGAGGGUUAAAGCCCUGGCCUGAAGCACCGGCAUCCCAUAUGGGUGCCAGUUCGAGUCCCAGCUGCUCCACUUCCCAUCCAGCUCUCUGCUAUGGCCUGAGAAAGCAGUAGAAGAUGGCCCAAGUCCUUGGGCCCCUGCACCUGCGUGGGAGACCCGGAAGAAGCUCCUGGCUCCUGGCUUUGGAUUGGUGCAGCUCCAGCCGUUGAGGCCAUCUGGGGAGUGAACCAGCAGGUGGAAGACCUCUCUGUCUAUACCUCUUUCUGUAACUCUGUCUUUCAAAUAAAUAAAAUAAAUCUUUUUUAAAAAUGUGAA
Non-coding RNA from Oryctolagus cuniculus (rabbit), 2915 nucleotides. The record is from RefSeq and is a predicted model, not a curated record. NCBI's taxonomy places the organism in Eukaryota, Metazoa, Chordata, Mammalia, Lagomorpha, Leporidae.